RNAcentral lists this ribosomal RNA (419 nucleotides) under bacterium. RNAcentral's name for it is "partial 16S ribosomal RNA". It matches the Rfam family "Bacterial small subunit ribosomal RNA", at positions 355 to 776 of the family's 1533-position model. The record is from RNAcentral.
UGGGGGAUAUUGCACAAUGGGCGAAAGCCUGAUGCAGCGACGCCGCGUGGGGGAUGAAGGCCUUCGGGUUGUAAACUUCUUUUGCUCUGAACAAGGCGCACCAUGGGGUGUGUUGAGUGUAGGGGUUGAUUAGCGCCGGCUAACUACGUGCCAGCAGCCGCGGUAAUACGUAGGGCGCGAGCGUUGUCCGGAAUUAUUGGGCGUAAAGGGCUUGUAGGUGGCUGGUUGCGUCUGUCGUGAAAGCUCAUGGCUUAACUGUGGGUUGGCGGUGGGUACGGGCUGGCUUGAGUGCAGGAGGGGAGGCUGGAAUUCCUGGUGUAGCGGUGGAAUGCGCAGAUAUCAGGAGGAAUACCGGUGGCGAAGGCGGGUCUCUGGGCUGUUACUGACACUGAGGAGCGAAAGCAUGGGGAGCGAACAGG